This is a long non-coding RNA of Lytechinus variegatus (green sea urchin), 3706 nucleotides long. RefSeq lists it as uncharacterized. Lineage: Eukaryota; Metazoa; Echinodermata; Echinoidea; Temnopleuroida; Toxopneustidae. The record is from RefSeq and is a predicted model, not a curated record. The transcript is spliced from 2 exons.
UUUCUUUUUCUUUAUUUAGUUAUGCUUGCCACAUCCAAAUACAGUGUAAGUAGAAAAAUAUCAUCUCUUGUGAAUUUCAAAAUAAUAAUACAUCGAACAACAUAUCAAUGAAAUACAAUGGAAGAUUGUGAUUCUGGAAGAUUUUCAGAAGUAGCAUAAAGAAUGACUAUGUCCUUUGUUAUUCGAACAUCAUUACAAACAGGCAAUAGUAGCAUUAGCAAAUUUCUCUAUUAAUUAAAUCAGAUGCAAAUCUAAACCUCUUCUCCUUUACAAGCAAAAUAAUUGAGAGAAUAAAGAAUCUGAGAAACAUGUAGAUAAAAGGUCUUCUCAAAGGAUAUGAGUGCAGCAGGGCUUUGAACCAGUACCUUGUGGGUCAAAGUCCAGAGACUUACCCACUGGACCAUAACACCUCUGGAUACAAUAUAUCUUUAUUGAAGAAAAUUUCAUAGGCUGAAAUUUAAAUCGUAUAUAUAAGAAAUAGUAAAUUGAAAGUAAAAUGUCAACGAUCAAAAGUCCAUUUCAUAUGCAGACUUAAAUUCAUUUUAAUUCAUUUUCAUUUUUUACUGUUGCUGCAAAAGUGAGAUGCAAGGCAUAUGCAUAUAUAUUUGUAAAUACAUUGUCGACCACAUGGACACAUAACAUUAAAACAAUUAAGUAACAUUCAUAUUCUGUUCCAUUUGAACUUCACAAGAAAAAAAUAUAGACAAAAUUAUCUAAAGAAUUCAAAUAAGAACUAAUAUUGCUUUGAAAGAGAACAAAACUGGUCUCAUUUUAAAAUAUGUAGAAUAUUUCAGUAAAAAAAAUUCAUCUCUUAUAUAUACAUAUCAUACAAUAGAGUUUGUGGUACUAAAAAGUAUUCAUAGUUCCCAAUCUACCAAUGAAACUGUAAUUGAAGUGCAUUCCUAAAUGAAAAUGAGGGUCAUCAAUGUUUUUUUUUCAUAACACAAAUUUUCUAAGUUUAGAGCCCCUCUUCAAUUUGAUGCAAAAUAUGAUACGCAUAUUCAAUGCACGAGUGAGUAAAACUAUUUUAAGAGAGAGGGCAACAAAAUGCAUUUCCUAGACAGUGACUGAGUUUUGAAAGGAAAAUUACAUUCCCAUACAACACCUGAAUAAAAAUAGGAAAUAAUGUAGAAAUAAUAAACUAUUUGUUUCAAAUGGUGUUUGAAUUUCCUAAAUUGUACAAAACAAAGAUGUUUUCUCUGCUGGAAUGAAUGCCUGGCAUAGCAGUAGAGUACGAAGCUUCACCCACCACUUGUCAAUCAGCCAUGCAUCAAGUCUAUUGUAUACUAUUCUUGAUGCUGUGAUGGCAUCUAGUGAAACAAAUUUGAUUUCUGAAAUUAUGGAAUUGUAAUUCCCCAGAAAUAAACAUAUUGUUACAAGUUUGUUGCCCAUUAUACUUUAAGGUCUUAUUAAUAGGCAGACAUCAAUUUUUCUGCACAUAUUUAGAAUGAAAUCGAUAUUUUUAUUGUUCAAAAUGAAAUCUGAAGUACAAAUACUCCUAAUUUUUGCCCAAUUGAUUGGCAGCCACUGUGCAGCACCAGAUCAACGAGGUGUUAUCCCUUAAAUCAUUGAACGCCAAACGGAAGCAGCAACUCCCAUCUUUUAACGUCUUUUGGUCUGACGUGGUAGGACCAAAUCUUUUAAUUCUUAAUCUUACAUUUCAUGCAGAAAUAGCAAGAAAUUUAAUCAUAAGUCAUUUUUCAACCAACCUUCAAAUAAAAUUGGCAAUAGGUUAUCACACAUAAUAUAUUUUGCUCUAAGAUGGCAAUAAGCUUUGUAUGAAAAUACACCUUUUCUAUUGGACAAUUUUUAUUUUUCAUUUAAUGAGCGAAACGUAUUUCAUAUUAAAUGAAUCCUCUCAUUUAUAUAAAGAGGGAAAUUUCAUACUUCAUUGCAUAUCUGUUGGGCAUCAAUGGAAAACACAAGCAAAUUCAAAGAUAACAAUAUCUAACAGUAAAAAAAUAUUUAAAAAAAUCAUAGAUACACUUGUGAUUGAUAUCUAUAACAUAUCUAGUUCUCUUUCUUUUUUUUCUUAUUGAAAGUAAGACUCCUAGUACAUGUCAGAGAAAAAUAAGUUGGAAAUUGAGGGAAAUUCAUUUACAACAUCUCGAUUGUGAAUUUACCCCUCAGAACUAUUUAUUCCUUGAAUUUAAAGUCCAAAUAUAAACAAAUGAAGAUAAAUAAAUGAUGAAUUUUACAACAUACACUUCAUAUUGCUAUUAUUUACACUGUUACAUUCUCAAUAUCAUUACACAAUGAAUGAAGUCCCAACAGCAUUUUUUGUAGCAACCUUACUUGGCUUCUUUCCUUGUUAAUCCUCCCAUUGCCACACAUACAAAAAAAAAAUGGUGAGUGGAAAAACUAUGAAAGACACUGAAUGGUUAACAGACUGCUAAAAUAUUUAGUUUAACAAUGUCUUUACAUGAAGGGUGUGGAAUAGGCAUUAAAUUAAGUCAAAUGAGUAUAAGGGGGGGGGUAGCAUGAAACUUAAUUACAAUUGAUGCACAUUUGCAAUUUAUGGAUCAGUUUUAACCAUAGCCAUUAAUUUCAAAUUUCAAUUAAUGCAUCGGAUUCAACUAUAGAAAAAAAUUGAAAUUUGCAAAUUCAAAGUUUUAGUUAAUUGAUAAGUAUUAACUUAAAAUUGAACUCGAAAUUUAACUCAAAAUCUAAUAUCACAUAAUAUCAUUGAGAAAAUGUAGGAUAAUCAAAAUGAAUCCACCUGGUAUGGAGUAUCACCUCUUUCAAAGAUGGGCUUCUGGUUCAAAGUCUUUGGAUGGAGGUCGCCAUUUUUCACGGGGUUAGUUAAAAUUGUGACGUCGGCGACGAACUACAUCUCUAAUACAUGUACAUAUGCCUAUUAUACAUUCUAUUUUUUGAAUAAUAAAUCAAAUAUACCGGUGCACAUUAAACUCAUUAAAAUAUUGAUCCACAAUUUGUUUUUUUUAUUAUAUAGUUUUGAAAUAUGAUUUGAUGAAUUUUGAUAAUAAAUUUUACACCCACAUCUACGAUUUCAAAAUUGGCAAAUUAUGGUUAAUUUGCCAGUUUGCCAGUUUGGAAAAUGUAGAAUCUAUAAUGUAGAUAUCUACUUAGAGAUGUAGUUCAUCACUGACAUCACAAUUUGAACAAACCCCGGGAAAAUGGCAACCUUCAUCCAGAGACUUUGAACCCGAAGAAUAACAAUUAUGAAUAGGUGAAGCUCCUUACCAGGAAAUCGGAUUGGGGUAUAAGUGCACUCAUUUUGAUUGCCCAGUAUUUAUCAAUGAUGUUGAGUUGUAUGAGAUUUUGAGUUUCAUUUUCCUUUAAGUACAUACAUACUUAAUCAAAGGAAAAGUUUGAACCAGACCAACUAAAUUCAAAUUUUGCAAUUAAUGAAUCACUUUUUAACUCUAGAAAAGCAAAAUCAUGCUCUGUUUUGAGAAGCAGAAAAGCAAUCAACUUCAAGAUUGAAAAUGAAGUUUAGGAACAAUUUUAACCUGCAAUUAGUUGUAAAUUCCAUGCAAAGCCUCAGGCUGCGACUGACACAACAUUUUAUCCAGCGACAAUUGCUCUGGGCUGUAUUUUGUCUUUAAGAUAUAGGGUUAGGGUUGCAAUAUGGUGUUAUGUUAGGUUUAGGGUUAGGAUAAAGUGUUUAAGUUGGUAAGUCCAUUAGUGUGUGGAAUUUACAGCAGAGCAAUUGUCGCCAGAGCAAUUGUCGCCAGAGCAUAUG